This 253-nucleotide ribosomal RNA is filed under the name uncultured bacterium. RNAcentral describes it as "partial 16S ribosomal RNA". It matches the Rfam family "Bacterial small subunit ribosomal RNA", at positions 524 to 776 of the family's 1533-position model. The record is from RNAcentral.
UACGUAGGGGGCUAGCGUUGUCCGGAUUUAUUGGGCGUAAAGAGCGUGUAGGCGGCCAGGUAGGUCUGCUGUGAAAACUCGAGGCUCAACCUCGAGACGCCGGUGGAAACCAUCUAGCUAGAGUCCGGAAGAGGAGAGUGGAAUUCCUGGUGUAGCGGUGAAAUGCGCAGAUAUCAGGAAGAACACCCGUGGCAAAGGCGGCUCUCUGGGACGUGACUGACGCUGAGACGCGAAAGCGUGGGGAGCGAACAGG